CGUAAACAAAGCUUGAAACUCAUCUUUCCAUUUGUUUAAAACACUGUUCUUAUCGGUUUUGACAUUUCCUGUAAAAUUGAGAAUGGAAAUGGGGAAUAUGUUAAAGAGACAACAACCCGACCAAAGAGCAGACAACAGCCGAUGGCCACCAAUGGGUCUUCAACACAGCGAGAAAAUCCCGCACCCGGAGGUGGUCCUCAGCUGGCCCC
RNAcentral lists this long non-coding RNA (209 nucleotides) under Mytilus galloprovincialis (Mediterranean mussel). Lineage: Eukaryota; Metazoa; Mollusca; Bivalvia; Mytilida; Mytilidae. The record is from RNAcentral.